GAUGGUUGGCCUUGAGAUCUUCCCAGUUCAGCAGGAGCACUCAGGAUGGCACAGAAUUCAGUAGCAGUUCUGCUCGUGAGCUAACUGGAUAUUGUAUUCAGCAUUACACACUUGGAGAGCACUGGCAGCCCACAGAUGAAGGAGCACCUACAUUAACAGCACCAGAUCCAAUUGUGUCUGGAAAAUUCAGGUUUGGUAUGCUGUCAGCUACUGAGGCCAGACCAGAUCUCAUGUGUAGAGAUGCAAACAUUCACUGCAGUGAUUUCACAUCUGCCUGCUUCCCCUUGUGUGCCAAAGCAGAGCCCUUCCCAUUGCAAGACAGCCAGGCCUCCUCCGCUACAUCUUCAUGGGCAUAUCCUCAUCUCUUCCUCCCAAAGAGUGAGUCCUUUACCACUGCAAGCAGCAAUACCCUGACAAGAACAGUCACAUGGGAGAGGGUUCCUGUUCUUCCACUAAUUAAUGGGGACAAGGCAGAAUGCCAGGGCAGACCCUCAGAUACACGAGUUGCCCAGGUCUGCCUCUCCCCUCUGGAGCUGCAGACACGUUGCAGACAGGAGUAGCUCAGGGUGCAAGCUGUUGUAAUUUACAAACACUCUGUGUGGGAGUCAGCUACACCUGCCUCUUGGGGAAUACCAACAUAAUUGGCAUCUCUGCUGAUGGGGGCAUUCCUGUAAAGCAGGCAGACUGACAGAAUGACGUUAUGGUGAAUACAUAAAUGAAGAGAAACUGUAUUCUGAUAUGCACAAAUUUGCAUGGAAAUAUACACAUGUAAAUAUAUUUUGGGUCUGCUUUU
Molecule: long non-coding RNA, 793 nt
Organism: Oxyura jamaicensis (ruddy duck)
Lineage: Eukaryota; Metazoa; Chordata; Aves; Anseriformes; Anatidae
Exons: 3
Source: RefSeq, a predicted model, not a curated record